Molecule: ribosomal RNA, 1426 nt
Filed under: metagenome
Description: bacterial SSU rRNA
Rfam family: Archaeal small subunit ribosomal RNA
Source: RNAcentral
ACCCGUUGAUCCUGCGGGAGAUCGCUGCUAUUGGAGUUCGAUUAAGCCAUGCAAGUCAGGGAGCAAUCCCGGCGAAAUGCUCAGUAACACGUCGAUAAUCUGCCCUUAGGUCAAGGAUAACCCUGGGAAACUGGGACUAACACUUGAUAGGGUAUUUUUUCUGGAAUGAUUUAUACUUAAAAAGUAAUGCCUAAGGAUGAGUCGGCGGCGGAUUAGGUUGUUGGUGAGGUAAAGGCUCACCAAGCCUUAGAUCCGUAGGGGCCUUGAGAGAGGUGGCCCCGAGAAGGACACUGAGAUACUGGUCCUAGCCCUAAGGGGUGCAGCAGGCGCGAAACCUUUACAAUGUACGAAAGUGUGAUAAGGGAACUCCAAGUGCUUGUACAAUGUACAGGCUUUUGCCAAAUGUAAAUAGUUUGGAGAAUAAGUGGUGGGUAAGACGGGUGCCAGCCGCCGCGGUAACACCUGCGCCACGAGUGGCGAUCACGAUUAUUGGGCCUAAAGCGUCCGUAGCUGGUCUAAUAAAUCUUUUGUGAAAGUGUAGGGCUUAACCUUACGAAUUGCAGGAGACACUAUUAGACUCGGAACCGGUAGGAGUCAGAAGUAUGGAAGGGGUAACGGUAAAAUGUAAUAAUCCCUUCUAGACUACCUGUGGCGAAGGCGUCUGACUAGGACGGAUUCGACAGUGAGGGACGAAAGCCAGGGGAGCGAUCCGGAUUAGAUACCCGAGUAGUCCUGGCUGUAAACACUGCGAGCAAGGUGUUGCGCAUUCUCCGUGAAUGCGCAGUAUCGAAGAGAAGUCGUUAAGCUCGCCGCCUGGGAAGUAUGGUCGCAAGACUGAAACUUAAAGGAAUUGGCGGGGGAGUACCACAAGGUGUGCGGCGUGCGGUUUAAUCUAAUUCAACGCAGAGAAUCUCACCAGAGGCGACGGCAGGAUGAAGGUCAGGCUGAAUGUUUUACCUAACGAGCCGAGAGGUAGUGCAUGGCCGCCGUCAGCUCGUGCCGUAAGGUGUCCAGUUAAGUCUGGUAACGAGCGAGACCUGUAUCUACAAUUGCUAACGACUCAUUUGAGGAUCGAGUACAUUGUGGGGACUGCCUUGGAAACAAGGAGGAAGGCGCAGGCAACGGUAGGUCUGUAUGCUCCGAAUCUUCUGGGCAACACGCGCGCAACAAUGGUAAGGACAAUGGGAUGCGACACUGAAAAGUGAAGCCAAACUCGAAACCUUAUCUAAGUCCGGAUUGAGGGUUGUAACUCACCCUCAUGACGAUGGAAUCCCUAGUAAUCGUGUUUCAACAUAGCACGGUGAAUAUGUCCCUGCUCCUUGCACACACCGCCCGUCAAACCAACCGAGCAGGGUUUAGAUGAGUAUUAGCCUUUUAGUUAGUCCGAAUCUAAGUUCAGUGAGGUGGGUUAAGUCGUCACAAGGUA